Molecule: unclassified non-coding RNA, 303 nt
Filed under: fungal sp.
Lineage: Eukaryota; Fungi
Description: partial internal transcribed spacer region
Rfam family: Eukaryotic small subunit ribosomal RNA (bases 1-46)
Source: RNAcentral
AAGUCGUAACAAGGUUUCCGUAGGUGAACCUGCGGAAGGAUCAUUAACGUGCCCUUCGAUGCGGUCCGGCCCCGAGAGAUCGGGGAUCGGCCGCCGCACCGAAACCGGCCCCACCCGUGCUUACCUUGACCACGUUGCCUUGGCGGGCCCCGUCAGGCUUAACAGCCUGGCAGCCGGGGGGCCUAAUGGCCCCUGGACAGUGCCCGCCGAUGGCCCCAACUGAACUCUGAACCGUAGUGAUUGAAUGUCUGAGUCCAAUUGAAGAAAUAAGCAAAACUUUCAACAACGGAUCUCUUGGUUCCG